RNAcentral lists this ribosomal RNA (590 nucleotides) under Cutaneotrichosporon moniliiforme. RNAcentral's name for it is "LSU rRNA". It matches the Rfam family "Eukaryotic large subunit ribosomal RNA", at positions 74 to 655 of the family's 3401-position model. The record is from RNAcentral. Lineage: Eukaryota; Fungi; Basidiomycota; Tremellomycetes; Trichosporonales; Trichosporonaceae.
AUUCCCUUAGUACGGCGAGUGAACCGGGAAAAGCUCAAAUUUGUAAUCUGGCUGUCUUCGAUAGUCCGAGUUGUAAUCUAUAGACGUGUUUUCCGUGCUGGACCGUAUCUAAGUCCCUUGGAACAGGGUAUCAAAGAGGGUGACAAUCCCGUGCUUGAUACGACCACCAGUGCUCUGUGAUACACGCUCUACGAGUCGAGUUGUUUGGGAAUGCAGCUCAAAAUGGGUGGUAAAUUCCAUCUAAAGCUAAAUAUUGGCGAGAGACCGAUAGCGAACAAGUACCGUGAGGGAAAGAUGAAAAGCACUUUGGAAAGAGAGUUAAACAGUACGUGAAAUUGUUGAAAGGGAAACGAUUGAAGUCAGUCGUGUUCUUUGGAUUCAGCUAGUUCUUCUAGUCUACUUCCUUUGAACGGGUCAACAUCAGUUUUGUCCGGUGGAUAAAGAUAGUAGGAAUGUAGCUCCCUCGGGAGUGUUAUAGACUAUUAUUGCAUGCACUGGGUGAGACUGAGGACUGCAGCUCGCCUUUUGGCCGGCCUUCGGGUACGUUCGAGCUUAGGAUGUUGACAUAAUGGCUUUAAACGACCCGUGUG